UAAAGUUUUAUUUUGGCUAUGGAUUUUGAUUAAUUUUUGUUACUCAUGUAAAGAUUAAAUUUAAUAAAAAUUUAAAUAAUUUUAUUUUAAUUUGCAGUGUGUAGAUUUAUUUAUUUUUGAGAGGAAGAUUUUGUAAUAAAUUUUAGUAUUGACUGAAUUUGUGCCAGCAGUUGCGGUUAAACAUAUGAUACAAUUAAUUUACUUUAGUUAAUAAUUAAUGGUUUAUUUAAAUUAUUAGUUUCUUUUAGUAGGUGAAAUUUUAAAUUAAAUGGAUGAUUUUUUUAGGGGAGCAUGAUUUUUAUUAAAUUUUUAUUUAAACUAGGAUUAGAUACCCUAUUAUUUAAAAUGUAAAUUUUUUGCUAGAUGAGUAAUAGUUAUGUUCUUUAAAAUUAAAAAAUUUGGCGGUAUUUUAGUCUGGUCAGAGGAACCUGUCCUAUAAUUGACAUUCCACGAUUUACUUUACUUUAUAUAUGUUUGUAUACCGUCGUAGUCUGAGUAUUUUAUAAGAAUUUAAAUGUUCAAUUUUUUGUAUUAGAAUAUAAAUCAGAUCAAGGUGCAGCUUUUUAAAGAAGAGAUGGGUUACAAUAAAUUUAUUUAUAUGGUUUAGUAGAUAAAAUUUUAUUAAUAAAUUGGAUUUGUUAGUAAUAAUAUUUAAUUAGAUAUUAUGAUUUAGCUCUAAAAUACGUACAUAUCGCCCGUCGCUCUCAUUUAAGGUGAGAUAAGUCGUAACAAAGUAGGUGUACUGGAAAGUGUAUCUAGAAUGCAA
Molecule: non-coding RNA, 766 nt
Filed under: Ptilodactylidae sp. 3 ACP-2013
Lineage: Eukaryota; Metazoa; Arthropoda; Insecta; Coleoptera; Ptilodactylidae
Source: RNAcentral